This 85-nucleotide transfer RNA is filed under the name Mobiluncus curtisii. RNAcentral's name for it is "tRNA-Tyr(gta)". It matches the Rfam family "tRNA". From Rfam's summary of the family: Transfer RNA (tRNA) molecules are approximately 80 nucleotides in length. Their secondary structure includes four short double-helical elements and three loops (D, anti-codon, and T loops). The record is from RNAcentral. RNAcentral also lists the same sequence under 8 other names. Lineage: Bacteria; Bacillati; Actinomycetota; Actinomycetes; Actinomycetales; Actinomycetaceae.
GGCGGGUUUCCCGAGUGGCCAAAGGGGACUGACUGUAAAUCAGCUGCGCAAUGCUUCAGGGGUUCGAAUCCCUUACCCGCCACCA